This 123-nucleotide small RNA is filed under the name Arabidopsis thaliana (thale cress). RNAcentral's name for it is "ATSL122710". The record is from RNAcentral. Lineage: Eukaryota; Viridiplantae; Streptophyta; Magnoliopsida; Brassicales; Brassicaceae.
AAUAAUAACAAAUAUAGAGCUAGCAACAUGUCUACUAUUUCACUUUUUUUAGAGUUUCUAAGCCAAUCAGAAGGCUCUAUUUCACACCCACUCGCACAAAGUGAGCGUUGAGCGCGUGAGAGC